CGCCCAAGCUAAUCCAGUGGUGCUAAGAGUCCUAACCCGGUACAACCGGAUCCCUUCGGGGUGAUGGUGGCCGGUCUAACGCUCGACCCCAUGCUGGUGCGGUUAGCGUAUGAACA
This 116-nucleotide ribosomal RNA is filed under the name Curtobacterium flaccumfaciens. RNAcentral describes it as "23S ribosomal RNA". The record is from RNAcentral. Lineage: Bacteria; Bacillati; Actinomycetota; Actinomycetes; Micrococcales; Microbacteriaceae.